This 263-nucleotide ribosomal RNA is filed under the name uncultured archaeon. RNAcentral describes it as "partial 16S ribosomal RNA". It matches the Rfam family "Archaeal small subunit ribosomal RNA", at positions 748 to 1009 of the family's 1478-position model. The record is from RNAcentral.
CAGCCCUAAACGAUGCGCGUUAGGUGUAUCGGUGACCACGAGUCACCGAGGUGCCGAAGGGAAACCGUGAAACGUGCCGCCUGGGAAGUACGGUCGCAAGGCUGAAACUUAAAGGAAUUGGCCGGGGGGAGCACCACAACGGGUGGAGCCUGCGGUUUAAUUGGACUCAACGCCGGGAAGCUCACCGGAUAAGACAGCGGAAUGAUUGCCGGGCUGAAGACCCUGCAUGACCAGCUGAGAGGUGGUGCAUGGCGUAGACGUCU